UACGUAGGGUGCGAGCGUUGUCCGGAAUUAUUGGGCGUAAAGAGCUUGUAGGCGGUCUGUCGCGUCUGCUGUGAAAAUCCGGGGCUCAACCCCGGACUUGCAGUGGGUACGGGCAGACUAGAGUGCGGUAGGGGAGACUGGAAUUCCUGGUGUAGCGGUGAAAUGCGCAGAUAAUCAGGAGGAACACCGGUGGCGAAGGCGGGUCUCUGGGCCGAUACUGACGCUGAGGAGCGAAAGCCAGGGGAGCGAAUGGG
RNAcentral lists this ribosomal RNA (254 nucleotides) under uncultured bacterium. RNAcentral describes it as "partial 16S ribosomal RNA". It matches the Rfam family "Bacterial small subunit ribosomal RNA", at positions 524 to 776 of the family's 1533-position model. The record is from RNAcentral.